RNAcentral lists this long non-coding RNA (350 nucleotides) under Manihot esculenta (cassava). Its description in RNAcentral is "long non-coding RNA (MESC_LNC003272)". Lineage: Eukaryota; Viridiplantae; Streptophyta; Magnoliopsida; Malpighiales; Euphorbiaceae. The record is from RNAcentral.
ACGACCCGAAAAUCGGACCGCUACCGGCGCUAGGAUCCAGAUCGGCUUAAGGCCGCCGGGACCCGUAGCAAGCCUGACAUAGAACCUGUAAACCUGUUCAAUCCCAUACAUGAUCAACAAUCAUACAUAAAAAUUAAAACUUUUCUUUCAUACAUUCCUCAUACACCAAACUCAAUCUGUGCAUGCACUAACAUAAUCAUAAACUUGACCCCUCAGUGGGAUCUCAUCAAUGCCCCAAUGGGCGAUACAUCAUAAGUUGAGUUGGUUAAACAUAAACAUCAAUAGACAUUAAGAUCAUGUAUCAACAAGGGAUUACAAUACUCAUAGGGUCAAGCACAACUAUAACCUCA